Molecule: ribosomal RNA, 506 nt
Filed under: uncultured bacterium
Lineage: Bacteria
Description: partial 16S ribosomal RNA
Rfam family: Bacterial small subunit ribosomal RNA
Source: RNAcentral
AGUGAACGCUGGCGGUAGGCCUAACACAUGCAAGUCGAACGGCAGCACAGGAGAGCUUGCUCUCUGGGUGGCGAGUGGCGGACGGGUGAGGAAUACAUCGGAAUCUACUCUGUCGUGGGGGAUAACGUAGGGAAACUUACGCUAAUACCGCAUACGACCUACGGGUGAAAGCAGGGGACCUUCGGGCCUUGCGCGAUUGAAUGAGCCGAUGUCGGAUUAGCUAGUUGGCGGGGUAAAGGCCCAACAAGGCGACGAUCCGUAGCUGGUCUGAGAGGAUGAACAGCCACACUGGAACUGAGACACGGUCCAGACUCCUACAGGAGGCAGCAGUGGGGAAUAUUGGACAAUGGGCGCAAGCCUGAUCCAGCCAUACCGCGUGGGUGAAGAAGGCCUUCGGGUUGUAAAGCCCUUUUGUUGGGAAAGAAAUCCAGCUGGCUAACACCCGGUUGGGAUGACGGUACCCAAAGAAUAAGCACCGGCUAACUUCGUGCCAGCCGCCGCAGUAA